Molecule: ribosomal RNA, 253 nt
Filed under: uncultured bacterium
Lineage: Bacteria
Description: partial 16S ribosomal RNA
Rfam family: Bacterial small subunit ribosomal RNA
Source: RNAcentral
UACGUAGGGCGCAAGCGUUGUCCGGAAUUAUUGGGCGUAAAGAGCUCGUAGGCGGUUUGUCGCGUCUGCUGUGAAAACUCGAGGCUCAACCUCGGGCUUGCAGUGGGUACGGGCAGACUAGAGUGCGGUAGGGGUGACUGGAAUUCCUGGUGUAGCGGUGGAAUGCGCAGAUAUCUGGAGGAAUACCGGUGGCGAAGGCGGCAUCCUGGACCGAUAUUGACACUGAGGAGCGAAAGCCAGGGGAGCAAACGGG